AGGAAAUAUAGUUUAAGAAAAAUAUUAAUUUUGUAAAUUUAUGAUGCUUUUAGCUUUUUCC
This 61-nucleotide transfer RNA is filed under the name Phyllodiaptomus tunguidus. RNAcentral describes it as "tRNA-Cys". The record is from RNAcentral. Lineage: Eukaryota; Metazoa; Arthropoda; Copepoda; Calanoida; Diaptomidae.